UACAGAGGGUGCAAGCGUUGUUCGGAAUUACUGGGCGUAAAGCGCGUGUAGGCGGCGGCGUAAGUCGAAUGUGAAAGCCCUUGGCUUAACCAAGGAAGUGCAUUCGAUACUAUGUCGCUUGAGUACCGGAGGGGAUGGCGGAAUUCCUGGUGUAGAGGUGAAAUUCGUAGAUAUCAGGAGGAACACCUGUGGCGAAGGCGGCCAUCUGGACGGUGACUGACGCUGAGACGCGAAAGCGUGGGUAGCAAACAGG
This 253-nucleotide ribosomal RNA is filed under the name uncultured bacterium. RNAcentral describes it as "partial 16S ribosomal RNA". It matches the Rfam family "Bacterial small subunit ribosomal RNA", at positions 524 to 776 of the family's 1533-position model. The record is from RNAcentral.